CAGUAGCCGCGGUAAUACGUAGGGUGCGAGCGUUAAUCGGAAUUACUGGGCGUAAAGCGUGCGCAGGCGGUUUGUUAAGACAGAUGUGAAAUCCCCGGGCUCAACCUGGGAACUGCAUUUGUGACUGGCAAGCUAGAGUGUGGCAGAGGGGGGUGGAAUUCCGCGUGUAGCAGUGAAAUGCGUAGAUAUACGGAGGAACACCGAUGGCGAAGGCAGCCCCCUGGGCCAACACUGACGCUCAUGCACGAAAGCGUGGGGAGCAAACAGGAUUAGAUACCCGAGUAGUCCCUGUCUCUUAUAA
This 301-nucleotide ribosomal RNA is filed under the name uncultured bacterium. RNAcentral's name for it is "partial 16S ribosomal RNA". It matches the Rfam family "Bacterial small subunit ribosomal RNA", at positions 509 to 809 of the family's 1533-position model. The record is from RNAcentral.